Molecule: long non-coding RNA, 2280 nt
Filed under: Zostera marina
Lineage: Eukaryota; Viridiplantae; Streptophyta; Magnoliopsida; Alismatales; Zosteraceae
Description: long non-coding RNA (ZMAR_LNC002126)
Source: RNAcentral
CCCCUGUCCCAAUGCAGCCAUCUGGUGUUCCACGUAUGCCUAUGUAUCCUGCUGCUGGACCUGGAAUUGGACAACAAUUAUUUUAUGGCCAAGCACCCCCUGCACUUAUUUCUCAUCAGGUAAUUUUUUAAUUACAUUGUUUAUUCUUUCAAAGUUUAGGUAAAAAAUCUAUCAAUCAUUUUUUAUUCAACUUCAUCCUUUAAAAAUAUUUUAUGAGACAUGAACUGUUUAAAAAGAUAUAGUAAGAGACAUAAAUUUUAAUUCGGUCAGGUUUUUAAACAACCAUCGAUGAUUUGUAUUUUUUAUCGAUGAUUUUAGAUAGGAUAUUUUUGAUUUAAUUAGAACUUGAAAUAAAAAAAACUCUUAUUGUUCUUAUUCCUUAUUUUUAUUUUAGACAUCAAUUUUAAUUCGGUCAGGUUUUUAACCAACCGUCGAUGUUUUGUAUUUUUUAUCGAUGAUUUUAUAUAGGAUAUUUUUGAUUUAAAUAGAACUUGAAAUAAAAAAAUUCUUAUUGUUCUUAUUUCUUAUUUUUAUUUCUUGACAUUUAUUUGUUUGGUCAAUUAAUCACAUAUGGAUAUUUUUUUAGCCUGGUUUUGGUUAUCAACAACCACUUGUUCCUGGUAUGAGGCCUGGAGGUGCUCCAUUUUUUAUGCCUUUUGUCCAACAAGGUCAGCAGGGGCCAAGGUCUGGUGGUGGUAGGCGUACUGGACCAGGAGGGCACAUGCAACAAAGUCAGCAACCAAUGCCAAUGGUUCAGCAACAGGUAUCCUGGCUUAUAUAUAUUUUUUACUCUUCAUCUUGUUUUUGAUUUCAUUCCUGUCUUUUGUUUUGCAGAUGUUUCCUAGGGGUGGAAGGAUGUAUCGUUUCCCACCGGGAAGAAAUAUACCUGACAUGCCUAUUCCUGGUGCAAGUGGUGGCAUGCUUUCUUCUCCAUUUGAUAUGGGUGGUUUUCCUGGAAGAGAUGGUGCCAUGUCACAGCCUAUACCUAUAUCAGCACUGGCUUCAUCUCUUGCAAACGCUCCUCCUGAUCAGCAGAGAAUGGUAUACAUUACAAAUCUUUUUAUCUUUUUAUUGUAGUUCUCAAAAAUAUAAUUUUUUGUUUUGUAGAUGCUUGGAGAAAGUUUGUACCCACUUGUUGAUCAAAUUGAGCAUGAUAUGGCUGCUAAGGUUACUGGAAUGCUUCUUGAAAUGGACCAAACUGAAGUUCUACACUUGCUGGAAUCGCCUGAGGCACUAAAAGCAAAGGUUGGUGAAGCUAUGGAAGUCCUUAGAAACGUUGCCCAGCAGCAACAGCAAAAUACUCCUGUGGAUCAGCUGGCUGGACUUUCUUUAAAUGAUGGCGUCGCAUAGAUUAUUGCUGAAUUUUGAGACUUUUCUCAUUCCGCGACUCUGUUUUGAUGGAAAAACUAUUAUUCCUAUUUCGAUUUUGUUGGUUUUAAUACCUGUUUGACUAUUAUUAUGGUUGAAAAAUACCUGGUUCUUUUUAAUUUUAAUGGAUUGCUAAGUAUUGUUCUUUUUUAUUUCUUUUCACCUGUUUAACUAUCAUUAUUUUUGGUUUGAUUUUUUUAUCAAGUUUGCUAUGAUUUUGAAAUUUCGAUUAUUCGAUAUUCUAUAUCUUAAAUUGUCAAUGUAUAUUCUUCUGAAUUUUUUGUCUAAUCUUUAACUUUAAGAUUUAAUCAAAUUAAAGCUUAAUGAAAAUAUAACAUUGAAGAUCAUUUGAGCAUCUCAAGCAUAUAAUUGAGUAGGAGCGAGGUGUCGUUCAGGAUACGUACCUCGUCGGAGACGUGGGAGCGAGAUAGUUUAUAUUCUGAAUGAAACUGUACAGAACUGACUUGAGUAUUAGUUUUAGAGAAUUAACGUUCAAACAACAAACAAACAAUAACGAAAACUGAAAUAUAUUUGCAUAGAUUGAAAGUAAAAGACGAUUAGAAUAAACCUAGAAAUAAAGGAACAACUACGAUAACAUAAUCCUCUUAACAAUAACAAUGAUACGAAACCUGGACAACCAAAACAAUAGAGUAGAAAACGCUGAGUAGACGUUGAGAACAUCGGAAGAGACUCGAAGGACGACCGACGUAACCUAGAAGUCAGAGAUGUAAGAAUGGAGAAAUGCGACUUAAAGAAAACUAACUGUAAUACCUGUAAAGCGAUGUAGCCUGUUCAACGACUUUUUCUUUAUUUAUAUCUUUAGGCAUGUUCAUGCGAUGAGAGCGCAUGAACGCCUAAGACGUCCAGGCAUUGCAUAAACAAGAGAGAAAUUCUGCACUAUCUUCCCUGUAU